GACGAACGCUGGCGGCGUGCUUAACACAUGCAAGUCGAGCGGUAAGGCCCUUUCGGGGGUACACGAGCGGCGAACGGGUGAGUAACACGUGGGUGACCUGCCCUCAGCUCUGGGAUAAGCCUGGGAAACCGGGUCUAAUACUGGAUAUGACUCCAUGACGCAUGUUGUGGGGUGGAAAGCCUUGUGCGGCUGAGGAUGGGCCCGCGGCCUAUCAGCUUGUUGGGGGGUGGAUGGCCUACCAAGGCGACGACGGGUAGCCGGCCUGAGAGGGCGACCGGCCACACUGGGACUGAGACACGGCCCAGACUCCUACGGGAGGCAGCAGUGGGGAAUCUUGCGCAAUGGGCGAAAGCCUGACGCAGCGACGCCGCGUGAGGGAUGACGGCCUGGU
RNAcentral lists this ribosomal RNA (391 nucleotides) under uncultured bacterium. RNAcentral describes it as "bacterial SSU rRNA". It matches the Rfam family "Bacterial small subunit ribosomal RNA", at positions 28 to 420 of the family's 1533-position model. The record is from RNAcentral.